RNAcentral lists this ribosomal RNA (500 nucleotides) under uncultured bacterium. RNAcentral's name for it is "partial 16S ribosomal RNA". It matches the Rfam family "Bacterial small subunit ribosomal RNA", at positions 30 to 523 of the family's 1533-position model. The record is from RNAcentral.
AUUGAACGCUGGCGGAAUGCUUUACACAUGCAAGUCGAACGGCAGCACGGACUUCGGUCUGGUGGCGAGUGGCGAACGGGUGAGUAAUACAUCGGAACGUGCCCAGUCGUGGGGGAUAACGUAGCGAAAGCUACGCUAAUACCGCAUACGUUCUAAGGAUGAAAGCGGGGGACCGUAAGGCCUCGCGCGAUUGGAUCGGCCGAUGGCAGUUUAGGUAGGUGGUGGGGUAAAGGCUCACCAAGCCGGAGAUCUGUAGCUGGUCUGAGAGGACGACCAGCCACACUGGGACUGAGACACGGCCCAGACUCCUACGGGAGGCAGCAGUGGGGAAUUUUGGACAAUGGGCGCAAGCCUGAUCCAGCCGUUCCGCGUGCAGGAUGAAGGCCCUCGGGUUGUAAACUGCUUUUGUACGGAACGAAAAGGCUCUGGUUAAUACCUGGGGCUCAUGACGGUACCGUAAGAAUAAGCACCGGCUAACUACGUGCCAGCCGCCGCCGUAA